GACGAACGCUGGCGGCGUGCUUAACACAUGCAAGUCGAACGGAAAGGCCCCGCUUUUGUGGGGUGCUCGAGUGGCGAACGGGUGAGUAACACGUGAGUAACCUGCCCUUGACUUUGGGAUAACUUCAGGAAACUGGGGCUAAUACCGGAUAGGAGCUCCUGCUGCAUGGUGGGGGUUGGAAAGUUUCGGCGGUUGGGGAUGGACUCGCGGCUUAUCAGCUUGUUGGUGGGGUAGUGGCUUACCAAGGCUUUGACGGGUAGCCGGCCUGAGAGGGUGACCGGCCACAUUGGGACUGAGAUACGGCCCAGACUCCUACGGGAGGCAGCAGUGGGGAAUAUUGCACAAUGGGCGGAAGCCUGAUGCAGCAACGCCGCGUGCGGGAUGAAGGCCUUCGGGUUGUAAACCGCUUUCGCCUGUGACGAAGCGUGAGUGACGGUAAUGGGUAAAGAAGCACCGGCUAACUACGUG
Molecule: ribosomal RNA, 468 nt
Filed under: uncultured bacterium
Lineage: Bacteria
Description: partial 16S ribosomal RNA
Rfam family: Bacterial small subunit ribosomal RNA
Source: RNAcentral